Molecule: ribosomal RNA, 642 nt
Filed under: uncultured Gammaproteobacteria bacterium
Lineage: Bacteria; Pseudomonadati; Pseudomonadota; Gammaproteobacteria
Description: bacterial SSU rRNA
Rfam family: Bacterial small subunit ribosomal RNA
Source: RNAcentral
UGACGCUGGCGGCAGGCUAACACACUGCAAGUCGAACGGUAACAUGACUAGCUUGCUAGUUGAUGACGAGUGGCGGACGGGUGAGUAACGCGUAGGAAUCUACCCAGUAGCGGGGUGAUAAGCCAGAGAAAUUUGGUCUAAUACCGCAUACGCCCUACGGGGGAAAGCAGGGGAUCUUCGGACCUUGCACUAUUGGAUGAGCCUAGUCAGCUGAGAGUUAGGCUUGAUCAAGGUGGAAGAGUAAGUGGUCCUCACCCAAAGGUCGACGAAUACUCUAGGCUAGGUCUAGAAGAAGGAUGAAUCAGCGCACACCUGGUAACUGAGACACGGUACCAGACUCCUACGCGGAGGCAAGACACCUGGGGAAUAUUGCACAAGUGGGCGCAAGCCUGCAUGCAGACCAUGCCUGCGUGUGCUGAAGAAGGCCCUAGCGGUUGUAAAGCACAUUUCAAGCCAGUGACGCGAAAGGUUGUAAGUUAAUACCUUGGCAACCUGUGACGUUAACUGCAGAAGAAGGCACCGGCUAACUCCGUGGCCAGCAGCCGCGGUAAUACGGAGGGUGCGAGCGUUAAUCGGAAUUACUGGGCGUAAAGCGCGCGUAGGUGGAUUGGUCAGUCAGAUGUGAAAGCCCAGGGGCUCAAC